RNAcentral lists this ribosomal RNA (253 nucleotides) under uncultured bacterium. RNAcentral describes it as "partial 16S ribosomal RNA". It matches the Rfam family "Bacterial small subunit ribosomal RNA", at positions 524 to 776 of the family's 1533-position model. The record is from RNAcentral.
UACGAGUGGUCCUAGCGUUAGUCGGAAUCACUGGGCUUAAAGGGUGCGUAGGCGGGUCUGUAAGUGCUUUGUGAAAUCCCCGGGCUCAACCCGGGAAUUGCAGGGCAUACUGCGGAUCUUGAGGAAUCUAGAGGCCGGCAGAACGAUAGGUGGAGCGGUGGAAUGCGUAGAUAUCUAUCGGAAUGCCAAAGGUGAAGACAGCCGGCUGGGGAUUUCCUGACGCUGAGGCACGAAAGCGUGGGGAUCAAACAGG